GACGAACGCUGGCGGCGUGCUUAACACAUGCAAGUCGAGCGGUAAGGCCCUUCGGGGUACACGAGCGGCGAACGGGUGAGUAACACGUGGGUGACCUGCCCUCCACUUCGGGAUAAGCCUGGGAAACCGGGUCUAAUACCGGAUAUGACUUCCUCACGCAUGUGGGGUGGUUGGAAGUUGUGUCGGUGGGGGAUGGGCCCGCGGUCUAUCAGCUUGUUGGUGGGGUGAUGGCCUACCAAGGCGACGACGGAUAGCCGGCCUGAGAGGGUGAUCGGCCACACUGGGACUGAGACACGGCCCAGACUCCUACGGGAGGCAGCAGUGGGGAAUCUUGCGCAAUGGGCGGAAGCCUGAC
This 355-nucleotide ribosomal RNA is filed under the name uncultured bacterium. Its description in RNAcentral is "bacterial SSU rRNA". It matches the Rfam family "Bacterial small subunit ribosomal RNA", at positions 28 to 387 of the family's 1533-position model. The record is from RNAcentral.